This 74-nucleotide transfer RNA is filed under the name Chloroflexota bacterium. RNAcentral's name for it is "tRNA-Thr". It matches the Rfam family "tRNA". Rfam says of the family: Transfer RNA (tRNA) molecules are approximately 80 nucleotides in length. Their secondary structure includes four short double-helical elements and three loops (D, anti-codon, and T loops). The record is from RNAcentral. Lineage: Bacteria; Bacillati; Chloroflexota.
GGCCCCAUAGCUCAGUCGGCAGAGCAACCGCCUUGUAAGCGGAAGGUCGCCCGUUCAAUUCGAGGCUGGGGCCU